RNAcentral lists this non-coding RNA (31 nucleotides) under Mus musculus (house mouse). Lineage: Eukaryota; Metazoa; Chordata; Mammalia; Rodentia; Muridae. The record is from RNAcentral.
UGAGAGGAUUCAAAGUAUGUCUGCCACGUGC